This 468-nucleotide ribosomal RNA is filed under the name uncultured bacterium. RNAcentral describes it as "partial 16S ribosomal RNA". It matches the Rfam family "Bacterial small subunit ribosomal RNA", at positions 28 to 507 of the family's 1533-position model. The record is from RNAcentral.
GACGAACGCUGGCGGCGUGCUUAACACAUGCAAGUCGAACGGAAAGGCCCUGCUUUUGUGGGGUGCUCGAGUGGCGAACGGGUGAGUAACACGUGAGUAACCUGCCCUUGACUUUGGGAUAACUUCAGGAAACUGGGGCUAAUACCGGAUAGGAGCUCCUGCUGCAUGGUGGGGGUUGGAAAGUUUCGGCGGUUGGGGAUGGACUCGCGGCUUAUCAGCUUGUUGGUGGGGUAGUGGCUUACCAAGGCUUUGACGGGUAGCCGGCCUGAGAGGGUGACCGGCCACAUUGGGACUGAGAGACGGCCCAGACUCCUACGGGAGGCAGCAGUGGGGAAUAUUGCACAAUGGGCGGAAGCCUGAUGCAGCAACGCCGCGUGCGGGAUGACGGCCUUCGGGUUGUAAACCGCUUUCGCCUGUGACGAAGCGUGAGUGACGGUAAUGGGUAAAGAAACACCGGCUAACUACGUG